GAGGAUGUAGCUCAGUGGUAGAGUGUUUGCCUAGCAGGCACAAGGCCCUGAGUUCAAUCCCAACACCAUCA
Molecule: transfer RNA, 71 nt
Filed under: Cavia porcellus (domestic guinea pig)
Lineage: Eukaryota; Metazoa; Chordata; Mammalia; Rodentia; Caviidae
Rfam family: tRNA
About the family: Transfer RNA (tRNA) molecules are approximately 80 nucleotides in length. Their secondary structure includes four short double-helical elements and three loops (D, anti-codon, and T loops).
Source: Rfam by way of RNAcentral